Molecule: ribosomal RNA, 535 nt
Filed under: Penicillium mononematosum
Lineage: Eukaryota; Fungi; Ascomycota; Eurotiomycetes; Eurotiales; Aspergillaceae
Description: LSU rRNA
Rfam family: Eukaryotic large subunit ribosomal RNA
Source: RNAcentral
CGGCAAGAGCUCAAAUUUGAAAGCUGGCUCCUUCGGGGUCCGCAUUGUAAUUUGUAGAGGAUGCUUCGGGAGCGGUCCCCAUCUAAGUGCCCUGGAACGGGACGUCAUAGAGGGUGAGAAUCCCGUAUGGGAUGGGGUGUCCGCGCCCGUGUGAAGCUCCUUCGACGAGUCGAGUUGUUUGGGAAUGCAGCUCUAAAUGGGUGGUAAAUUUCAUCUAAAGCUAAAUAUUGGCCGGAGACCGAUAGCGCACAAGUAGAGUGAUCGAAAGAUGAAAAGCACUUUGAAAAGAGAGUUAAAAAGCACGUGAAAUUGUUGAAAGGGAAGCGCUUGCGACCAGACUCGCUCGCGGGGUUCAGCCGGCAUUCGUGCCGGUGUACUUCCCCGCGGGCGGGCCAGCGUCGGUUUGGGCGGUCGGUCAAAGGCCCUCGGAAGGUAACGCCCCCAGGGGCGUCUUAUAGCCGAGGGUGCAAUGCGACCUGCCUAGACCGAGGAACGCGCUUCGGCUCGGACGCUGGCAUAAUGGUCGUAAACGACC